GGGGGGGGGCAGAUGCUCAGGGCUGAGACUAGAGGAUGCGCCUCUGGACUGGCUGCAUUUCAGGGACAGACACUCACAGUCUGGGGAUAACUUACUGCAUUUGGGGAAUGAGGGAAUGAAUCUGAGUCAAAGAGGAAGCUUGCGAACAGUUUUGAAAUUUGCCCCACAGCUGUCAGGAGAGCUGUUAAAUGUUAAAAGCAGUCAAGAAGAAAUUGAAGAAGCAGCUGGUGGGACUGCAUAGAACACCAAGAUAGUGCCACAUCAUUGCACUCCUGAAAAUAGUAGGUUUUAAGAAGUGGAAUCGAGUUGUCAACGAUGCCAAGCACCAGUUAGAGGCCAGGCUUCCAGGGAUGCCAUGGUGCUAUGCUGGGAAGUUUUCAACAGACGCUUAGUGACCAGACUUGAAGGUGACCAUCAGGAAUGGAAGACAAAGGACAAGCCCCAGGGCUGCGAGUGGAAUGUUCCACCCAGUGUCAUUCCUGGCUAAGGAAGAGCGUAAAGUUGGUGGUCCUGUCAGGACCUCUUGCCCACUAGGUCCACGAGAAGCCACUUGUUUUGAACUAAAAGCAGAUGUUGAGAGAAGCCAGCAGUGGUUUAAUGAAGGAAACAAAGAAACCCCAGGGACUCACCUUUUUUCCCCCCUUUGGCUGGUUGCUCAAAGAGGGGGGCCCUGAAGACCCUCUGUUUGGGCAGAGUCGGUGACUGUAGGGCAGAGAGAAGGACUGGGCUUUGGAGUUGACUUGAGCACCCCAGGCAUCAGCUCAUGCUCACAGGUGAACUGUGACAUAGACUUUCCUCUGUUCUGUCAUUCCUCUGUUGGAGCAGCACCUAUGGAGCCCUGUGUUACAUCUCAUGCUCCUGUCCACAUCCUUGAGUCUGCAGGGAGAGCUGCUAUCCAUGGAAGGGACCAUGAAAGAGUCUGUGGAAAGGACCACAGAAGAGACUGCAGGAUCAGGUUGGCCAGGCACCUCUAGUGACUUCUCCCAGUAGGAGCGGAUAGCCCCAGAGAUGGUGUGAAACAGAUGGAAAAAUCAUAACAGAGUUGAAUGCUCUCACUGGGACGGGGUGGGGUGUCUCCAAAUCAAACUGAAGGACCUAGAAGGCCCUGGACUGACAGCUCUGACACUUGGGGGGGGGGAUACCAUUUUGGAAAAGUGAUCUAAAACUUUUGGUAACCCAGUCUCCUCUCUUACAUGGCGAUUAUAGCAGUUCUAGUCUGAUUAGGUGGUUAUGAGGUUUCAGUGAAGCAAAUGUUCAAAAGGUUCUUUUCAUCAGAGUUUCUUUUAAGUUAAAAAAAAUUGGAAUGUCCCUAAAAAGAGUACCUGGUCUCAGUAUCCUUGGGACUUGGUAUUUGGAGAGAGAGAGAGAGAGAGAGAGAGAGAGAGAGAGAGAGGGAGGAAGAGAGUAGAAAUACUUCCCCCUCAUAGGAAAGUCAGCAGACUUAAGACUCUAAGGAGGGUCCAGAAGUCAAGCUUGGAUUUCUGUGGGGCUUCAGAUGUCUUUAUUUUAGAUCUGAGUUUCUCAGCUCCAGCUCUGUUGACAUUUGGGUCUUGGUAUUAUCUUUGUCAUGGGAAUUAAAAGACAUAUAUGGGCUCUGUGGCUCACCCUCUGAGAUGCUAGGAAACCCUCUACCCUCAUAUCUCAUCCCCAUAUCCCACCACCAAUUUUGACAGUGACAAAAUGUCUCCAGAUAUUACUAUCUCCCAUGCAGUGGAAAGAGAAGUUACCUCUGGUUGACAAAUACUACUUUGUAACAUUACCUACAUAAUGAGUUCUUGGCAGGUCUGAUUAUUUGCUGGCUAAAGUACAGAAAGGUCACUUUGCUAAAAGUCUGGAAGGCCCAGGAUGUCAUGGUAGAGGGGUUUUCAAACUUGGAGAACCCAUAGGUUGCAAAUCCAAGCCCCAUUUGAUAUAAAAGACUGGUUCCUAAAUCUGACAGUUGGAUCAAUUCUACCUGUUCUUUUAAUCUACAUUCCAUGCAAGCUUAGAGGAUUCUUAGAGCAUUAAGUUUAGUAUAAAUCCUUUACUAACUAGUUACUAAAAUAUGAGCUACAAACAGUUACUUCUCUGGAGAACUAGGUCUUGAGGUAAUCUUCUUUUUAAGUAGAAACACUAAAAAAAAAAAAAUCAGAUUUCAGAAUUGGUACUUCCUUUUUUAGGGAGAGGCCAGAUUAGAGUCUUAAAGAAAAGGAAAGCAGUGUGGAAUCACCUCAUCUACAUAGAUGGCAGAGCUGAUGCUGGAGUGAGUGUGCCUGGUCUCCACAGAGCCAGGGGGAGGCAGGGCACUUGGAAUAGCCAGAGAGAAUUGCUAAGGAAGAUGAUGAUGUCAGGGUUGGCCUUGCAAGGGCCAUCUUGGAAGCAAUAGAGUAAUAGAAGUGGAAGGUUUCUUUGUUUGUUAGUUUGUUUGUUUUGUUUUUUAAAGCAAGGCACAAACAUGGGCUCUGGAGUGUUUGCAGAUGGGCAUAGACAUUGGUCUAGGCUGAGCUCCUUCCAGCAGUGGAUGGUGAAGAGGGCCUGCAGGUGGACUCACUGCUUGAUGGUGGGAAGAAACAACUGGGUUAGUGAUUCAGGAUCCUUCAUGGUCAAAACAAACAAAUUUUUAAACCUAUUUUAGGUCAUUGUUUACGUAUACCCUCUUGGGCAAAGAAGUUCUUACUUGGGGAGAACAGACUAUAUUUUAUCAGCAGGGUCUGAGAGGAGGCCUAUGUGGAAGGUUUGUAUAUAUGUGUGUGGGGUAGGGAGCACAGGCGCAUCAGUGUGGGAUGGGCAUCUUGGCUCUGGUGUGAUCAUGAAAGUCGUGGAAAAAACAAGUGGCCCAUAACACCAGCAGCAGCUGGUGUUGGGUCAGGCUUCUCGAGCAACUCCUUCAAUUGACUCAUUAUUGAUGUUGGAAGCAAGAUCCCACCAGUCCUGUUGGCCAUCCCAGGAACUCUCUGGUCCUGGCAUAGAUUUCCCUAGAAGUUUCUGGUGGCUGCUUGCUUCUUGGAGCCAUUAUGAGAAAUUUGGUUUGUUAAAGAGUCUCUCCUCUUUCUUGGUUUGUCCUAAACCCUGUCUCCACUUGGCAGUUUCCAUUUGCUCCUUCAUGGAUUCUAUGGGCAUUGUUGGAUUUCCUGUUUGGAGUGCAAAUGCAUGGUUUUGUUUUCAAAUGUGAACUUGGGGUCUGAGAUUCACCCCAUCCCACUCCCCCGUUCAUUUUCACUUCCUCAAGCAGCUUCUGCUCUUUCUCCAUCCUGAUUGGCUAUUGUGCACCAACGUGACCUACAGCCAGUGGUUUUGCCUUCAUGUUCUAGGUGAACCUUGACCUUGUGCAGGGAACUCACAUGACCCCUUAAAUCUUUCUUUUUCCUCUCUUGCCCACUAGGAGUGAGUCCUCUCACUCAGGGGCAUAAGGCUGCAACUUUUUUUUUUUUUUUUUCAAACCACUCUUUUUCCCUCUGGCUUUCUUUGUGUUGCAAGGCCAUGACUUGCUGCUGAUGACCUUCUGAAGACUUCUGUGGUACUUGUGUGGCUGGCUCUUGGUUUCCCAGGAGGGUAUGGGCUGUGCACCCACAUUGUUGUCCUGGCUGUGGCCCAGUGAGACCUCCACCCUCUGUGUGGGAGAGAACACAUUAUGGAUAGCACCUGAUUUGACUGGCCCAACUUUCUCACCCUGAAUAUCAUUUGCUUUCUGACUUUCAGCACACUAGGUAUUGGAAAGUUGGGCUUUUUACCCAUGACUCCAGCCUCUCCCUAGUUGAGGAAUGCUCUGACGGUGUUAGAUGCUCCAGAAGCUGUGACCUCCUUGACUUAUGGAGUCAGGAUUUUCCCUUCUCUCUAUAUGUUUGUUUCCCAUUAAAUAAUGAGCACACAGUUCAAGGGUAAUAGCUCAGUUGGUGCAGUUCAAUAUGAGACACAUCGACAGGCAUCAAACCAAACUGAAUAGACUCAGCAUAAAUAUGGCAAGAGUCUAUCCACCAUGAUCUUGAGGGCCUCUUUAGUGUCGCUCUAAUUUCCAAGCAGCUAUACGGUUUCUCAACCAGGGUUUUCAGUACUGGAUGAACUUGUCUAAUCCUCAAGGCUCUGCUUAUGCCUAGUCUUGAUCACCUGAUUGUGAUUAGAAUCUCUUCAUCCCCUUAUACUUUUGCCUGGCACCCUUCAACUGCUUACCAGUGACCCCUGCUGUGGUUCCAGCUGUCCAGUCUGGAGUGAAACACCCUAUCUGCUGAGGAGUAUCUCCUGACUUGAGUGAUUUUCAGGAAAAUGUUCCGAGGAAACUGACAUUGGGAAGGGCCACUGGAGCAACAGCCCCUUCCUUCAGCACUUAAAUUACCUUGAGGCAAGACAGGUGCUUCUCCCUAAACCAUUACUCUGGGGCCCCCUCCUGUGGGCUCUUCUUACUGUGAACUGGCAGUAACCCCAGGAUGCUGCCCUCUCCAUGAAGGCUUGGAGCUGGGGCGGGGGU
Erinaceus europaeus (western European hedgehog) is the source of this 4441-nucleotide long non-coding RNA. RefSeq lists it as uncharacterized. The transcript has 4 exons. The record is from RefSeq and is a predicted model, not a curated record. NCBI's taxonomy places the organism in Eukaryota, Metazoa, Chordata, Mammalia, Eulipotyphla, Erinaceidae.